GACGAACGCUUGCGGCGUGCUUAACACAUGCAAGUCGAACGGAAAGGCCCUGCUUUUGUGGGGUGCUCGAGUGGCGAACGGGUGAGUAACACGUGAGUAACCUGCCCUUGACUUUGGGAUAACUUCAGGAAACUGGGGCUAAUACCGGAUAGGAGCUCCUGCUGCAUGGUGGGGGUUGGAAAGUUUCGGCGGUUGGGGAUGGACUCGCGGCUUAUCAGCUUGUUGGUGGGGUAGUGGCUUACCAAGGCUUUGACGGGUAGCCGGCCUGAGAGGGUGACCGGCCACAUUGGGACUGAGAUACGGCCCAGACUCCUACGGGAGGCAGCAGUGGGGAAUAUUGCACAAUGGGCGGAAGCCUGAUGCAGCAACGCCGCGUGCGGGGUGACGGCCUUCGGGUUGUAAACCGCUUUCGCCUGUGACGAAGCGUGAGUGACGGUAAUGGGUAAAGAAGCACCGGCUAACUACGUGCCAGCAGCCGCGGUGAUACGUAGGGUGCGAGCGUUGUCCGGAUUUAUUGGGCGUAAAGGGCUCGUAGGUGGUUGAUCGCGUCGGAAGUGUAAUCUUGGGGCUUAACCCUGAGCGUGCUUUCGAUACGGGUUGACUUGAGGAAGGUAGGGGAGAAUGGAAUUCCUGGUGGAGCGGUGGAAUGCGCAGAUAUCAGGAGGAACACCAGUGGCGAAGGCGGUUCUCUGGGCCUUUCCUGACGCUGAGGAGCGAAAGCGUGGGGAGCGAACAGGCUUAGAUACCCUGGUAGUCCACGCUGUAAACGGUGGGUACUAGGUGUGGGGUCCAUUCCACGGGUUCCGUGCCGUAGCUAACGCUUUAAGUACCCCGCCUGGGGAGUACGGCCGCAAGGCUAAAACUCAAAGGAAUUGACGGGGCCCCGCACAAGCGGCGGAGCAUGCGGAUUAAUUCGAUGCAACGCGUAGAACCUUACCUGGGUUUGACAUGGAUCGGGAGUGCUCAGAGAUGGGUGUGCCUCUUUUGGGGUCGGUUCACAGGUGGUGCAUGGCUGUCGUCAGCUCGUGUCGUGAGAUGUUGGGUUAAGUCCCGCAACGAGCGCAACCCUUGUUCACUGUUGCCAGCACGUUAUGGUGGGGACUCAGUGGAGACCGCCGGGGUCAACUCGGAGGAAGGUGGGGAUGACGUCAAGUCAUCAUGCCCCUUAUGUCCAGGGCUUCACGCAUGCUACAAUGGCUGGUACAGAGAGUGGCGAGCCUGUGAGGGUGAGCGAAUCUCGGAAAGCCGGUCUCAGUUCGGAUUGGGGUCUGCAACUCGACCUCAUGAAGUCGGAGUCGCUAGUAAUCGCAGAUCAGCAACGCUGCGGUGAAUACGUUCCCGGG
Molecule: ribosomal RNA, 1343 nt
Filed under: uncultured bacterium
Lineage: Bacteria
Description: 16S ribosomal RNA
Rfam family: Bacterial small subunit ribosomal RNA
Source: RNAcentral